GGGGGACUAACUCAGCGGGAGAGUGCUACGUUCGCAACGUAGAAGUCGGGGGUUCGAAUCCCCUGUCCUCCACCA
RNAcentral lists this transfer RNA (75 nucleotides) under Candidatus Tectimicrobiota bacterium. RNAcentral's name for it is "tRNA-Ala". It matches the Rfam family "tRNA". From Rfam's summary of the family: Transfer RNA (tRNA) molecules are approximately 80 nucleotides in length. Their secondary structure includes four short double-helical elements and three loops (D, anti-codon, and T loops). The record is from RNAcentral. Lineage: Bacteria; Pseudomonadati; Candidatus Tectimicrobiota.